UUCAGAUCCUCAUAUGCAAACACUGCAUGCAGCUUAUGGAAUAUAUAAUAAACUGCAAUGUACAGAAUUACUGACUAACGUAAGUGAUUGAAACCGAAAUAAAAAGAAAAUACAAAGGUCACAGAAAUCACUUUACACUUAUAUAAGCCUGGCUCUGUUAGGAUAUAAAGGGCUGGCUACCUGGCACUUAAUAUUUAUAAAUAUUAAAUAUAUAAAUAUUUUUAAAUUUGCCUAUAAUACUGGUUUUGAUAUUACAUCCACAAGAAUUAUGAAAAACUUUUUACAAAUUCUAGCUUUUCCUGGAGGGUAAUAACAUGUCUGUAUAACCAUCGGCUUUAUCACCUAGAACAGAUAUUUUAGUACUACAGAAGUCCAGCCUACAAUCUAUUACAAAAAUUUAAACAUUUUAAAUAUGUAUAGCUUCACAGCUAUAAAUAAACUUUUGCAAAGUAUCAUAAAAUAGGUAUCCCACCUUCUCUCUAUAAAAUACUGGCUAAGAACUAUUUUAGUUCAGCUACCACUUUACCCCUGCAGAAAAGGCACUUAAUAGGGCAGACAUAUUUAUAUACUAGUUAUUUGUUGCACUGCUUUCAAUAGCUAAGGACUCCAGAAUACUUUCAAAACAGGGUGGGGGAUUGGUUGUCUUUCCCUAAACAACACACACAAAAAGGAAAGAAAGCUAUUUAAUUCAACAGAUUAUUAAAUCAAUAAGGGGAACAUCCCCCUAAAUAAACUAACAGAGACAAGCAACUGCUACUUUACAAUCCCACAGCUCCAGCAAUUGGGUUUAAGAGCAGCAGACAACUGCAGAGGGUAUUCUAGCUAACAGCUAAGCAGAAAAAGCAGGGACUGAGUGACAAAGAGAUCGUGUCUGUCUCUCUUUCAGUCUCUGCCUCUGGUGCAUGCACCUCCCAGCAGCUCUCUCCCUAUUUAAAGGCUGAUGUGGUGUUUAAAUGGAGAGGCGGUGACGUGGGGCUGGAAAGCACCUUCCCAUCCUGGCAGAGUCUAUAUUAGAGAGCGGCAAUGGCUCUAUAUAAACAGGGCAGCCACAGGGAGGAGGAACACAAGGAGCAGGGAGACAGAAAGGCAGGGGAAGCCAUGAUGGAUCUCACAGAGACACAAACAAGGGGGCCAAGCCUGCACCGUAACCGCCCGGACUCGGGGUUUGUCGGCAGCUUUUUGGGGCUGCAGCUGCUGCCAUUGUGGCCUUGAGGGUCACUCCCUCCACACCCAUGGAACAUCUGAGCCAGAUAAGGAGGAGAAAGAAGAGGACUCGGGAUGACACAUUCCAGGAGAUGCUGCCAUGUUGCAUCAGAGAACGACACCAGGGCCUGGAGGAUGACCCUUGCAGACAGCAUGCAGAAUGCAAGAGUGGUUAGAAAAAAGGCCCGGGAGUUCAAGCAGGAAAAGGAGAGGGAGAUGCACCAGGACAUAAUGGCUCUUCUCAGGCAGCAAACAGAGAUGUUGCGGACUCUGGUAGACCUGCGCUCAAGAGUCUUGUGCUGACCGCCCUCUGCAGCCUAUAGACAACUCAAUGUCUGGACCUCCCUACACCUCCCCUCAACAUUCCACAUGGCAUCAAGGGCUGCUGCAUUACCCCUACCACUCCACCGUGGGGAACAUUAAAGACAAUCACAACUGCAUAUACGCUGACCUGUGAAAGACAUGGUUGGUGUAUGUGUACCUGAAAUGGAAAUGACUGUAUUUUCCCCUUCAUAAUUUCUGUUCCCUUAAUUUAUUAUGGUUUAUAAAGUGCUAAAUGGGUGUUUUA
This is a long non-coding RNA of Malaclemys terrapin pileata, 1771 nucleotides long. RefSeq lists it as uncharacterized. The record is from RefSeq and is a predicted model, not a curated record. The transcript has 2 exons. NCBI's taxonomy places the organism in Eukaryota, Metazoa, Chordata, Testudines, Emydidae.